Non-coding RNA from Peromyscus maniculatus bairdii (prairie deer mouse), 977 nucleotides. Lineage: Eukaryota; Metazoa; Chordata; Mammalia; Rodentia; Cricetidae. The record is from RefSeq and is a predicted model, not a curated record.
CCUCUGCCUCCCGAGUGCUGGGAUUAAAGGCAAGCGCCACCACCGCCCGGCUUGCCUUUUUUUUUUUUUUUUUAACAAAAUAAAACACCAAGGCACAAAUUUUUUUUAAAAAGUUCACCAAGUAAAAUAUUCCCGGUUUGUUUGUGUAAUAUUUAAUCCUUGGCAGUUACCACAUAUCUCAUAUUCUCUUUGCAGACCACUUUACCUACUUUUCUAGUUACUUGAAAGCACACACUGGAUAUACAGUUUGGUGCUCUACAGUCACUUCCAUGGAGUAUUGAAUAAAUAACUAUGGACUUUCAUAUGGAUAUAUAUAGUAAAUAGGAUUUGGGGAGCUGACUGUGGCACAUCUCUACAGAUAAGGUCCAGAGACGUGCCUUAAAUGGAACACAGCACUGCAUUGUUGUAAUUUCCUGUUUGCUGAUCUCUCUCAAGAGGACUGAAGCUGAAUACUCAUCUUUCUGCACUUCUGGAUCACCAAGUGUUUACCAUGAAGCAGCUGUUAAGUAAUUACCUCCCCCCCCCAAAAAAAGAGAGAGAAUAAAAAGGACACGAAGGCACAAAAUGGGCACUUGAAAUCCACCUGCAAAAGUUACUCAUGCAAUUGAAGCAUUAGAGAAGCCUCCUGAGUGCCAAAGAAGUUAGGCUCUACAAAAGAGAACUCCAACAGUGCCGCACGGCGCAGCCACUACAUCCUUAGACGCUUCCGGAAAUGAUCACCGUGGGGCUUUUCAAAGCCCAGAGGAUUUCUACAUUAAAAUAAAGCAACAGACAUCAAGCCUAGAAUGACUUCAGAGUUGCAGAUAUGAACUGCACCGAAGGAUGGAUGGUCUGCUCCAAAUGACAGGACAAAGGGCCUGGACCCAGUCAAUUUCACAGUGAUGAUACAUGUAGAUGACCUGAGGCACAAGCUGUGAUUGAUCCUAAGAAAAUGAAAGUUAGAAUGUCGUUCCAAAUCCUUAUUUCAUGAUUUCAAA